Astyanax mexicanus (Mexican tetra) is the source of this 360-nucleotide long non-coding RNA. RefSeq lists it as uncharacterized. The record is from RefSeq and is a predicted model, not a curated record. The transcript is spliced from 4 exons. NCBI's taxonomy places the organism in Eukaryota, Metazoa, Chordata, Actinopteri, Characiformes, Acestrorhamphidae.
GUUACAGCGCAGCUGGUGCAUGACGAGAGGAUUCUCCAUGGCCCCAGGAGUCUUGGUCUCGUUGGGGAUGAUGCAGCGCACAAAGUGGGGAUAAAGGCCCUUUGGAGUUGAAGUUGAAGAAUCAGACAACUUUGUUUAAGAAAAUUGUCUGCGAAGACCUGCUUUAGUCAGCACUGUCCAUCAAAACUACAUCCUGCCUUUUAGGGUACCCACCUACCCAACCCACCCUCCUCCCACCCACCCACUAUGCUCACACAGAAGCUCCUUGAGCUACCUGAGGAGAUGGCAAAAGUCAAAAAGAAGACCUAAAGCACAGGGAUCAAACGUUUCAGGGACAGUUGGGUGGUUGCUUCACUCUUC